CUGAUAAUUAUAUGAUAGAAAGGCAGUAUUUAUAAGGAAGGUGAUGCGCGAUUAUACUAGCACGAGCGAGUCCGUGUUCGAGAUAUCAUCUCCGACACAUUGCCGUCUACAACUUCCAAAAGAAAUUCUCAGCAACAGUGACAAUUUUUACUCCAUGCGAACUCAUUGAAUGAAUCCUAACAAUCAACUUCAACUAUUCAACAAUGCUGGAUCAUCAGAAGUGAUAGAUAUACUAUUUAUCUCUUGAUACUACUCAUUCUUAUUUCUAUAACUAUCCCUACUAGUGCUUUUUAAAUAGUACUAUGAUAUAUCACCUCAAAAAGCUCACCCAUUGUUGAACAUGAGGGCUACAAUUUUCUAGGAUUUUAAAUCAUCAAUAUACAAUCACCAAUCAUUUUUAUACCUCUGA
This 409-nucleotide small RNA is filed under the name Histoplasma capsulatum. Its description in RNAcentral is "hypothetical RNA". The record is from RNAcentral. Lineage: Eukaryota; Fungi; Ascomycota; Eurotiomycetes; Onygenales; Ajellomycetaceae. RNAcentral also lists the same sequence under 1 other name.